Molecule: long non-coding RNA, 252 nt
Filed under: Fukomys damarensis (Damara mole-rat)
Lineage: Eukaryota; Metazoa; Chordata; Mammalia; Rodentia; Bathyergidae
Description: lncRNA (ENSFDAG00000032179.1)
Source: RNAcentral
GCCCAUUGUACUUUACAAAACUUCUUCUAGAAUUGUUCAUUCUAAUGGUUCAUUCAAGACUUCAAGAGAGUUUGAGGCUUAUGAGAUUUGUCUUUAGAAUGAGAAAGAACAGCAGGCUUACACCAAAACAACACGGAAAAGAGAAAGCCACACGACCUCACUCUCUGAGACAGCAAAUCACGAGUGAAUUCAAAGCAGAGCUCAUUCUGUAUGUUCCUAAACCAAGUGUCAUUUGCAUCGUGUGACGAGGAG